UAAGGAAUAUUGGUCAAUGGACGCAAGUCUGAACCAGCCAUGCCGCGUGAAGGAUGAAGGUCCUCUGGAUUGUAAACUUCUUUUAUCUGGGACGAAAACGGGAUUUUUGUCUCAAUUGACGGUACCAGAGGAAUAAGCACCGGCUAACUCCGUGCCAGCAGCCGCGGUAAUACGGAGGGUGCGAGCGUUAUCCGGAUUUACUGGGUUUAAAGGGUGCGUAGGUGGGCUUAUAAGUCAGUGGUGAAAUCUCCGAGCUUAACUCGGAAACUGCCGUUGAUACUAUAGGUCUUGAAUUAUCUGGAGGUAAGCGGAAUAUGUCAUGUAGCGGUGAAAUGCUUAGAUAUGACAUAGAACACCAAUUGCGAAGGCAGCUUGCUAAGCUGUAACUGACGCUGAGGCACGAAAGCGUGGGGAGCAAACA
RNAcentral lists this ribosomal RNA (421 nucleotides) under uncultured bacterium. Its description in RNAcentral is "bacterial SSU rRNA". It matches the Rfam family "Bacterial small subunit ribosomal RNA", at positions 355 to 774 of the family's 1533-position model. The record is from RNAcentral.